This 254-nucleotide ribosomal RNA is filed under the name uncultured bacterium. RNAcentral describes it as "partial 16S ribosomal RNA". It matches the Rfam family "Bacterial small subunit ribosomal RNA", at positions 524 to 776 of the family's 1533-position model. The record is from RNAcentral.
GACAGAGGCCUCAAGCGUUAGGCGGAAUCACUGGGCUUAAAGCGUGUGUAGGCGGAUGCCUAAGUACCUUGUGAAAUCCCACGGCUCAACCGUGGGAACUGCUGGGUAUACUGGGCGUCUUGGGCCAUUCAGGGGCGACUGGAACAAGCGGUGGAGCGGUGAAAUGCGUAGAUAUCGCUUGGAACGCCGAAGGUGAAAACAGGUCGCUGGGGAUGUGCCGACGCUGAGACACGAAAGCCAGGGGAGCAAACGGG